CUCUCGUUUCAAAAAAAAAAACCUGUGAAAUAACUUUUCAUCGACACGCCACUGAGGUCAACUUUUGAUGCGUCACGCGUGCGGGGCCGUCUCUCCUUAUGUCCUCCUCUUCUCCUCUCUCUCUCUCUCACCCCAAUUCUCUCUUUGUGUGCUUCUUCAACCUGCGCUGGAGCUUGCUAUGUCGUGACCGCCGUGGUGACUAAGGUGUAAGCGAGGUGGAGAUCAAGUUGGAGUGGCAGCGUUGUGGCAAGGUGGUCAUCAGCCACCGGCGAGGUAAUUCCAUGGCACAAGUUACAAGUUGGAGGGGGAUGGGGUUGCCAACGCCAGAGAAGAAGUUCGGUAUGGUACCCCGGUCUUGGAGGUAUGGCAGUGGUGGUGGCUAAGGGUGGGAGGGUGUCGACACAGUAUACAGUAUUAGCUAAGAAAUUUUAAUCUAUACUAGCAGGUGUGCCCGCGUGUUGCUACGGGUCAAUAAAAUCACAAACUAUUUAUUUUUAUUUUCUGUGUAGGCAACUUAUGGCGCUGUCGAGGUCGGCAUGCAGGUGUGGUGGCGUCGGUUGUAAGAUGGAGUAGGAAAAAUCGUGAAAAAAACUGGAGGAAAAAAAAAUAACGGGCAGUGGCAUAUUGGUUGUAAUUUUAACUGAAGGAAAAGAAAAUAACGAGCAGUGGCAUAUUAUAUUGGUUGUAAUUUUAACGAAGUUAACCUACGGCGACCGUGACCGUACCAUCACCACCAACUCCAAUUUAAUAGAUAGUAAUAGAUACGCACAUGACUUACUUCAGAAUGUACUUUAACUUCAAAAAUCAAUUUUUUAUAAAAAAAAAAUCAGCUUUCACUGGGCCCGAGCCCAGAAACGCCGCACAGUUCCCAUUUAUUGAUACCCGAUCAAGCAAAUUCCGGC
Molecule: long non-coding RNA, 902 nt
Filed under: Brachypodium distachyon (stiff brome)
Lineage: Eukaryota; Viridiplantae; Streptophyta; Magnoliopsida; Poales; Poaceae
Description: long non-coding RNA (BDIS_LNC000408)
Source: RNAcentral